This 4265-nucleotide long non-coding RNA is filed under the name Homo sapiens (human). Its description in RNAcentral is "HSALNT0122522". Lineage: Eukaryota; Metazoa; Chordata; Mammalia; Primates; Hominidae. The record is from RNAcentral.
CAUUAGCGAGUUCUGGGUGUCCUCCGCUGAUGGAGUCAUGUGCACUCAUCUGUCUUUUCAGGGCAGCCUGUCUCCUGGAGCUUCUCCCUGUUGCAUUGCCGAAGCCCAGCACAACUCAUGAGAUUGAGAUGAGUAUCUUCUCUCCCACCAUAUUGUCCAGUGUAUCCUGCUCCCAGCUUACAUACUGUCAGGCUGCCGUAACAGAAUACUACAGGUUGGGUGGCUAAAACAACAAUUGUUUACAAUUCUGGAGGCUGGAAGUCCAAGAUCCAGGUGCUAGCCUGGUCCCAUUCUUGGUGAAGCCUCUCUUCCUGGCUUACCUAUGGCCUCUUUCUUCUUAUGUCCUCACAUGGUGGCCAGUGGGGAGAUGGGCUGAGGGAUACAGAAAUCUUCUUAAAGGGCACCAACCCUAUCAUGGAUGCCCCACACCCAUGACCUCAUGAAAACCGAAUCGCCUCCCAAAGACCACACCUUCAAAUAAUAUCACCUUGGGGAUGAGGGCUUCAACAUAAGAACAUUUUUAGGCAGGGCAGGGGCACAAACAUUUAACCCAUAGCAUGUACUAGGAUUGUCUACUCAAUCUGCCUCACACCCCAGACCAUUUUUAGGGUUUCUGCUCAUAGCAAUAUUGUGCAUGUCCAGCUUCUCCUUUACUCUUCCUUUCCCUUGGGCAGAAUUCCACACGAUACCAUCAAAGUUUCUGUUUUAAAUAGAUGUUUAAUUUUAAGUUAUUAUCCUCCACUAACACAUCUCAAAAACUUCCUCUUUUCAGUCUACCCAUGUAUUUCAUUUCCCAGUGGCAUUUCACUUUUUCUACUUGGCAAGCAGUGGUUUGUGCAUUAUUCAUAGAGAGGAACUUGUUCAACAAGAAAAACAUCAGUACUGUCUAUACCCCUACAUCAAAGUCUCUGAUGUGUCUUAACAUUGGGAUUCAUUUUCCUGACUCAAUAAUCCCACUUCAAAGAAUUUGUCUUAAAUAAUCAGUGAUGCAACCAAAGAUAUAUACAGCUACUCAACAUGGAUUAUUUAAACCUAUUAAAAUUUAUCAACAUAUUGUGCUCAAAGGUAAUGUUUAGAAUCCUUCCACUUAAUGUAGUCCUUGCAUGGAUAACAGUGAAAUCUAUGGGACAAUAGCAAAAUUUCCUGGAAUACAGAAAAAAGCACAAAUACAGAAUGUAAAAUUAAAAAUGAUUAAAGAGUAGAAAUACUAAUUAUAGAUGUUUAAAAACAGUAAUUUUGGCAGGGCACGGUGGCUCUCACCUGUAAUCCCAGUACUUUGGGGGGUAGAGGUGGGCGGAUCAGAAGGUCAAGAGAACGAGACCAUCCUGGCCAACAUGGUGAAACCCCAUCUCUACUAAAAAUACAAAAUGACUGGGCAUGGUGCCACAUGCCUGUAGUCCCAGCUACUUGGGAGGCUGAGGCAGGAGAAUCGCUAGAACCCGGAAGGCGGAGUUUGCAGUGAGCCGAGAUCGCCCCACUGCAUUCCAGCCUGAGACUCCUUCUAAAAAAAUAAAUAAAUACUAUAUUUGCAGUGAUGAUACUUUUUGGUUUUUGGAAAAAUUAUAUUGAAUUAUUUCUUGGUGAUGUGUUCAAAUUACUCGGGCCAGCAGGUUUUAAUCUUAGAAAGGGAGAAGAUAUAUUUAAAAACAACUAACCAUGUUUUCCUGAAAAUGUGUGAAUGUUAAAAAUCACUUAACUAGAAAAUCUAUUCUGUUUUAAAGACAAUGUGAUACUGAAUAUGACUGGAUUGGGCAGCUCUAAAUCUAUGUCUGUAAUUAUGCUGACCCAAAGACAAACAUAAUAUAUAUGUUAGAAACAUAUCUUUUAAGAUCUGACAUUAAGUGAGGAAAACAAGUGUGCAUAGUAUAAUAAUGUUUACUAAACAGACAAUAAAUGUGUGUGAACAUAUAUAAGUAUAUAAACAAAUGCCUAUUUAUAUAAAUAUGGAUAUGUGCUUAUGAAAGAAGUAAUGGAAAAAUCUAUUGUCAGUGUUUAGAUUUGGAAAGAGGUCUUAGGUAUGAGGUAGAUUAAAUAAUUUCCCUUGCAAUUUUGCAUUUUUCUGUAUUGUUUGCAUUUUCUAACUUUAUUUCUUUUACUUUAAAUGUGUGUACUGUAUCAUUGAGGGCUACUUAGAAGAGAUAUUAAGAACUAUAUUUCUUUUAGUGUCUGUGUGUGUGCACACUCACAUGUGUGUCACGUGUGUGCGAGAGUAUCAAAAAAGGCCUACUGAAUAAUAUGACGAAAUUAUGUUCCCUUGUGAUAAACUGGAAGCUGACUUGAUUUUAGUGAUUUUUGUGAUUAGAGCUUAAUGUCACUAUAUUAAGAAUGAAUUAUAGAAGGGUAGUUGUUUGCCACUACAGUGGCGUGUAUUAGCUGAUUUUUAUUUGACAGCCAGAGUUAGGAGAUACAUAAUAGGUGUCUUGACCUUAACAUGAGAGAAUAAUUUAAUACCAUAGUGUAGUGAGAAUAUGGGUUUUAGAUUUGAUUCCUCUUUGUGGCUCUAUUUCUUCACCUGUAAUAUGAGGUAAUAUCUAUGAUUGUUUUGAGCUCAUGUAUAUAAAAAUUUUAGAAAUUACAAGUAAGCCACUAAUUCCCUUUUAAUGAUCUUUAUUAAAGGUGAAGAAAUUCAACAGAUAUGAAGCUCAUGCCACAGUGCACGGAUCCAUGCACACUUGUCCCCUCUGCAGACCCAGCAGAAAAGAAAAUCAUGAAGGAAAGACUCAUUAGUCAAUGGAUGCCAGAGAUGAUGAAAUUAAUAAAACUCAUAAGGAGGCAUCCACAUGAUAAAGACGGGAUGGAGCAUUCUUGAAAAUCAACCAUUGGACAGAAAAAAAAGCAUUCAGAAAAAUGCUUGGAGGUUUGGUUUACUGUGGAGAGGCUGUGGAUGAGGAAUAUCCCUAAGUAAACCUGAUUAGCAAGUUCCUGCUCUUUGGAUAGUGCUCUUUUAUGAGAUUCAUGACUUUAGCCCAUGGCAUUAAUACUGAGAACAUUUGAAUAUGUAAUUUCCACAACAACAGGGUUCAUGUCAUUGAUAGAUGCUUUGGUGCUCUAUGCUUCACCAUCGGGGAUACCCAUUCUCCGCUGCUUUAACAUCUGAGUGCUAACAGUAGUCCUAGCUACUGGUCCCUCUCUGGAGAAUUGACCAGGGGUUAGCUGGGAGGAGAGGCUAUAAUCCUCAGCAGCAACCCACUGAAGAGGAUGUGUGCUCAGCUACUAACUGAUAUACAUUGGCUAAAAGUGUCUGCCCCUUUUCUGAAGGCAGGUGGGGAUGUGAGUUAUGGUCCAGAGCCUUACCUUGGAUGAGUUAAGUCAACUCCUAUUUAAGUCUCACCUUUGACUAACACUGCAUCCUUCUUAGUGUCCUCUCUUUCCCUCUCCUCCUUCACUGCUUUCCUUGAAGAGCUCUGUCUCAAUGAAUCACACACAACCAGGCUCUGCUUCCAGGGAACACACCCCAAAUAGGUCUAUUUAUACAUGUAGCUUCACAAAGAUGACCACAAGUCAAAAAUAAUGAAGACUGUCCACAAUCCAGAAACUCCAUUCAUGCCUCUUCCUUGGCUCCAUCACCAGUUGCCUUCCCAAAGAUACCCUCUAUCUUGAUUCCCUACCUAUUCUGACCUGUAUAUAAAUGGAAUUAAAUACAUGCAAUUAUUUGUGUACAGCUACUUCCACCCAACCUUACGUUUGUGAUACAUAUCUUUAUUGUUGCAUAGAGUUACAAUUUAUUUCAUUGCAUAUAUUAUACUCGAUUUUGUGAAUGCUUAUAUACAUUCUACAGUUGAUGGAUGUUAGAAUUUUUCUAGAUUUGGGCUAAUAUAAUUUGUGCCAUUAACAACAUUCUUAUCCAUCAGGGCGUAUGCAUGCAUACAUUCAUGUCAAAUGCACAUUUUUAAUUGCAUUGUUGUGUUAGUAAGAUUUAUUUAUAUAUUUUUAAAUACAAAUUAUUUGACUGUUGUAUAUGUUGCAGGUAUUUACUCCCACUCUCUUGGUCACAUUUUCACUAUCCCAGUCGUGUCUUUUAAUGUAAAGAAAUUUCAAAUGUUGGUGUAGACCAAUCAUUAUUCCCUUUAUAAUUAAUAGGGCCUUUCGUGUGUAUUGUUUAACAAAUAUUCCCCUUUCUCAACGUCACAAAGAUAUUCUCCUAUAAUAUCUAUGCCUUAUUGGUUUGCUUUUUACUUUUAUAUCUAGAAUUUACUGGGAUUUAAUAUUUGUAUUUGGUAUGAGGUAGGGGUUUUCUUUUUUUCUCUUUUUUUGUUCGAUUUUGA